AUACGGAGGGGGCUAGCGUUGUUCGGAAUUACUGGGCGUAAAGCGCACGUAGGCGGAUUAAAAAGUUAGAGGUGAAAUCCCAGGGCUUAACCCUGGAACUGCCUUUAAAACUAGUAGUCUAGAGUUCGAGAGAGGUGAGUGGAAUUCCAAGUGUAGAGGUGAAAUUCGUAGAUAUUUGGAGGAACACCAGUGGCGAAGGCGGCUCACUGGCUCGAUACUGACGCUGAGGUGCGAAAGCGUGGGGAGCAAACAGGAUUAGAAACCCUUGUAGUCC
This 274-nucleotide ribosomal RNA is filed under the name uncultured bacterium. Its description in RNAcentral is "partial 16S ribosomal RNA". It matches the Rfam family "Bacterial small subunit ribosomal RNA", at positions 523 to 796 of the family's 1533-position model. The record is from RNAcentral.